AGGUCGUUAGCUCAGCUGGUAGAGCAGCGGACUUUUAAUCCGUUGGUCACAGGUUCGAAUCCUGUACGGCCUA
Molecule: transfer RNA, 73 nt
Filed under: Candidatus Paraburkholderia calva
Lineage: Bacteria; Pseudomonadati; Pseudomonadota; Betaproteobacteria; Burkholderiales; Burkholderiaceae
Description: tRNA-Lys
Rfam family: tRNA
About the family: Transfer RNA (tRNA) molecules are approximately 80 nucleotides in length. Their secondary structure includes four short double-helical elements and three loops (D, anti-codon, and T loops).
Source: RNAcentral